RNAcentral lists this ribosomal RNA (549 nucleotides) under uncultured bacterium. RNAcentral describes it as "bacterial SSU rRNA". It matches the Rfam family "Bacterial small subunit ribosomal RNA", at positions 355 to 896 of the family's 1533-position model. The record is from RNAcentral.
UGGGGAAUAUUGGACAAUGGGCGAAAGCCUGAUCCAGCCAUGCCGCGUGUGUGAAGAAGGCCUUUUGGUUGUAAAGCACUUUAAGUGGGGAGGAAAAGCUUAUGGUUAAUACCCAUAAGCUCUGACGUUACCCACAGAAUAAGCACCGGCUAACUCUGUGCCAGCAGCCGCGGUAAUACAGAGGGUGCAAGCGUUAAUCGGAAUUACUGGGCGUAAAGCGCGCGUAGGUGGUUAUUUAAGUCAGAUGUGAAAGCCCCGGGCUUAACCUGGGAACUGCAUCUGAUACUGGAUAACUAGAGUAGGUGAGAGGGGAGUAGAAUUCCAGGUGUAGCGGUGAAAUGCGUAGAGAUCUGGAGGAAUACCGAUGGCGAAGGCAGCUCCCUGGCAUCAUACUGACACUGAGGUGCGAAAGCGUGGGUAGCAAACAGGAUUAGAUACCCUGGUAGUCCACGCCGUAAACGAUGUCUACCAGUCGUUGGGUCUUUUAAAGACUUAGUGACGCAGUUAACGCAAUAAGUAGACCGCCUGGGGAGUACGGCCGCAAGGUUA